This is a non-coding RNA of Canis lupus familiaris (dog), 104 nucleotides long. The record is from Rfam. NCBI's taxonomy places the organism in Eukaryota, Metazoa, Chordata, Mammalia, Carnivora, Canidae.
AGGAGGAACAGCCCCAGUGGCGGUGCAGCUCUGGAAACCUGGAUUCAGCCCCCGCAGGAACUCCGGAGCUCUCCGUCUGCAGGGCCUGGAGGCUCCGGGCGGGG